CCAGGAGGCCGGGUGGCCGCCCUUCCGUUUUGCGGGAGGGAGGAACGUCCGAGCUCCACCGGGCAGGGUGCCGGGUAACACCCGGGCGGGGCGACCCGACGGAAAGUGCCACAGAAACAUACCGCCCCGGGUCGAGUGGGGCCGCAAGGCCCUCCCAAACUCCUCGGAACCGUCGAGGUGGCCUGGGGCAAGGGUGAAAUGGUGCGGUAAGAGCGCACCGGUCCUUCCGGUAACGGAAGGAGCUGGGCAAACCCCACCCGGAGCAAGGCCAAAUAGGAGGACACGCCUCCCGCCUCAGGCGGGGGGGGCAGGGGCGCCCGGCCCCGUCCUCGGGUAGGCCGCUCGAGCCCGCCGGUAACGUCGGGCCCAGAUAGAUGGCCACCGUCCGCCUCAGGCCUGCCCUGAGCGUAGCCGAAGGGCGGAUACAGAACUCGGCGUAUAGGCCGCCUGGCUCC
Molecule: RNase P RNA, 455 nt
Filed under: Dehalococcoidia bacterium
Lineage: Bacteria; Bacillati; Chloroflexota; Dehalococcoidia
Description: RNase P RNA component class A
Rfam family: Bacterial RNase P class A
About the family: Ribonuclease P (RNase P) is a ubiquitous endoribonuclease, found in archaea, bacteria and eukarya as well as chloroplasts and mitochondria. Its best characterised activity is the generation of mature 5'-ends of tRNAs by cleaving the 5'-leader elements of precursor-tRNAs.
Source: RNAcentral